CGGGUGCCGUGGGGGUGCCGGCGGGAGCCGGCUGAGACGGGCACGCCCGAACCCUGGAACCUGAUCUGGGUCAUGCCAGCGGAGGGAAGCGGCCUCCUCCCGGUC
RNAcentral lists this non-coding RNA (105 nucleotides) under Limnochorda pilosa. RNAcentral's name for it is "TPP sequence". It matches the Rfam family "TPP riboswitch aptamer (THI element)". From Rfam's summary of the family: Vitamin B(1) in its active form thiamin pyrophosphate (TPP) is an essential coenzyme that is synthesised by coupling of pyrimidine and thiazole moieties in bacteria. The previously detected thiamin-regulatory element, thi box was extended, resulting in a new, highly conserved RNA secondary structure, the THI element, which is widely distributed in eubacteria and also occurs in some archaea. The record is from Rfam by way of RNAcentral. Lineage: Bacteria; Bacillati; Bacillota; Limnochordia; Limnochordales; Limnochordaceae.